GGGGGCGUAAAGGUUUCGACGGGGAUUUUGAAGUAUGAUAAGCGGGCAGAGUGCCGAACCUCUUUAACUCGGCAAAACGUUUAAAUAUAAACGCUAACGAAGAAAAUUAUUUGAUGGCUGCUUAAUCAGCCUCCGUCUGACCUGAAAGUACCACGGUUCGGGAUUCAGGCGUCGAUUAGUGGUGAACGUUCUUUGAGGCUCGUCCCUCCUCUCUGAAUGUAUUCGGGACUACCAGACACUUCAGCCUGACUGCCGGCGGCUGUGCGAGGGAUUCUUAAUAGACAGUAUACGCUCGUAGAAAUUUGUAUGAAUGAGUUUUCGGACAGGGGUUCAAUUCCCCUCGCCUCCACCA
RNAcentral lists this transfer-messenger RNA (352 nucleotides) under Ruminococcus sp. It matches the Rfam family "transfer-messenger RNA". Rfam says of the family: Bacterial tmRNA, also known as 10Sa RNA or SsrA, is named for its dual tRNA and mRNA-like properties. Its role is to liberate the mRNA from a stalled ribosome. Lineage: Bacteria; Bacillati; Bacillota; Clostridia; Eubacteriales; Oscillospiraceae. RNAcentral also lists the same sequence under 1 other name. The record is from RNAcentral.